Alligator mississippiensis (American alligator) is the source of this 933-nucleotide long non-coding RNA. RefSeq lists it as uncharacterized. NCBI's taxonomy places the organism in Eukaryota, Metazoa, Chordata, Crocodylia, Alligatoridae. The transcript has 4 exons. The record is from RefSeq and is a predicted model, not a curated record.
CCAAGUUUGUGUAUCCCGGUCCACUCUACCUUUCCAUCAGGCAGUACAUGUGGAAAUGGAAAAGUAGCUCUCUAAUUAAUCAAAGUCAGAUCUGCCUGAGCGCCUGGAGUUGCUGCUGAUCCUUGUCCCAGCUUCUCCCAUGUUCUCUCUCUAUGUUUUUACCUUGAAAACUUCUGCUCUGAGCUGGGAAUGCCUGAAGGGCUUGCACGAUUACAAGUAUUGCAAAAAUGAAUGCUAAUUAUAAGUACGCUCUCCAUGGAACAAACAGAUGGAAGCUGGCAGAGAAACCCUCUUCUCAUCAGCAGCCAGGAAGAAGAAACCUUCCACCAAACGGUAUAACACAGAUCUACUUACAAACAGAGAACAGUCUAUCUCCAUCUGCUUUGGAAUCACCCUCCAGGUUGUUGAAGGCUGCUAUCAUAUCCUCUCUUGGUCUUUUCUUCUCCAGACUAAAAAAGCAAAACAAUUGCCACUACAAGAAAGAAGAUCUACAUCCAUUGAAACAUAAAACAUGAGUACUGGAUAGGAAGGACCACAAAACACACGUAAUAUUUUUUCAUGCAUGAAAUCUAUGUUAAAGAAAAAAUGUAUAAUGUUUGCCUUUGAUGGACUUUCUAUUGUCCUUCACCAUCUGAAUUUUCUCAUUUGUGAUAAUGAGUAUGGCUGAGCAUGUGGGAAGAGUUAGAUCAAGUGACACAAAAAUUCAAGCCUGAACUUUGACCCCGCUCCAAACUCCUCCAUGAUAUGCUAUUCUGCUAAGCAUAUAGGAAAAACAUAGGAAAAACAGGUCUUUUUUUUUAACAUCAUUUCUCUCCCAUUCAGGAAACUACAGAAAGAGUCAAUUUUACCAUUUUUGCUUUAUAUCAAAAUGUUUUCACAGUUCUGUCUGUUUACUGUACCUGGGCAGAAUAAAAUGAUAGUAGUUGUUGUUCA